GCCUACCAAGGCGACGAUGGGUAGCCGGCCUGAGAGGGUGAACGGCCACACUGGGACUGAGAUACGGCCCAGACUCCUACGGGAGGCAGCAGUGAGGAAUAUUGCGCAAUGGGCGAAAGCCUGACGCAGCAACGCCGCGUGGAUGAUGAAGCUCUAAGGAGUGUAAAGUCCUGUUAGAAGGGAAGAACAACCAAUAUUUAAAUAAAAUAUUGGUUUGACGGUACCUUCAGAGAAAGCCCCGGCUAACUCCGUGCCAGCAGCCGCGGUAAUACGGGGGGGGCAAGCGUUGUCCGGAAUCAUUGGGCGUAAAGGGCGCGUAGGCGGAAUGGUAAGUUAGGGGUGAAACCCAUAGGCUUAACUUAUGGCCUGCCUUUAAAACUGCCAUUCUUGAGUGUGGUAGAGGGAAGCGGAAUUCCUGGUGUAGCGGUGAAAUGCGUAGAUAUCAGGAAGAACACCGGUAGCGAAGGCGGCUUCCUGGACCACAACUGACGCUGAGGCGCGAAAGCGUGGGGAGCAAACAGGAUUAGAUACCCUGGUAGUCCACGCUGUAAACGAUGGGCACUAGGUGUUGGUUCGCCUAAAGCGGAUCAGUGCCGCAGCAAACGCAUUAAGUGCCCCGCCUGGGGAGUACGAUCGCAAGGUUGAAACUCAAAGGAAUUGACGGGGGCCCGCACAAGCGGUGGAGCAUGUGGUUUAAUUCGAUGCAACGCGAAGAACCUUACCUGGCUUGAAGUGCAGCCGAAAUUCGUUGAAAGGCGAACCUCCUUCGGGACGGCUGUAGAGGUGCUGCAUGGCUGUCGUCAGCUCGUGCCGUGAGGUGUUGGGUUAAGUCCCGCAACGAGCGCAACCCUGGUCCUUAGUUGCCAUCAGGUUAUGCUGGGAACUCUAAGGAGACUGCCCCGAAUAACGGGGAGGAAGGUGGGGAUGACGUCAAGUCCUCAUGGCCCUUACGUCCAGGGCUACACACGUGCUACAAUGGCCGGUACAACGGGACGCAAUAUCGCAAGAUGGAGCAAAUCCCUUAAAACCGGUCUCAGUUCGGAUUGCAGUCUGCAACUCGACUGCAUGAAGUCGGAAUCGCUAGUAAUCGCGGAUCAGCACGCCGCGGUGAAUACGUUCCCGGGCCUUGUACACACCGCCCGUCACGCCAUGGAAGUCGGUAGCACCCGAAGCCGGUGGCCUAACCUUCGGGAAGGAACCGUCGAAGGUGAGAUCGAUGACUGGGGCGAAGUC
RNAcentral lists this ribosomal RNA (1233 nucleotides) under metagenome. Its description in RNAcentral is "bacterial SSU rRNA". It matches the Rfam family "Bacterial small subunit ribosomal RNA", at positions 263 to 1487 of the family's 1533-position model. The record is from RNAcentral.